Molecule: ribosomal RNA, 2811 nt
Filed under: archaeon
Lineage: Archaea
Description: 23S ribosomal RNA
Rfam family: Archaeal large subunit ribosomal RNA
Source: RNAcentral
GAUGAAGGGCGUGGCAAGCUACGAAAUGCUUUAGCGAGGUGCAUGCAACCUAUGAACUAAAGAUUCCUGAAUGAGACUUCUCAUUAAAUCCGAAAGGAUAAGGAACCUAGGGAAUUGAAGCGUCUUAGUACCUAGAGGAAAAGAAAUCAAUUGAGAUUCCGUGAUUAUCAGCGAGAGAAAACGGAAUAGGGCAAACUGAAUAUUUUACAGAAAUGUAAGAUAAAUGUGGUGUUACAAGACCUAAUUUUAUACCUUAAUCUGGUUUACUGAAAUUUCCUGGAAAGGAAUGCCAAAGAGAGUGAAAGCCUCGUAAGAAAAAACAGAAAGGAGUUUAGGUAUCUUGAGUAGUGUACAUUGGAAAUUGUGCACGAAAUUGGGAGACAUCAACUUCCAACCCUAAAUAUGUCUUGAAUCCGAUAGCGCACUAGUACCGUGAGGGAAAGUUGAAAAGUACCCGUAACAGGGUGUUAAAAGAACCUGAAAUCUAAUGGUUAUGGAAAGCUGCGGCAUUAAGGUGUUGCAGCAUGCGUUUCGAAUAACGCGCCAGGGAGUUUAGUAUAGUGGCAAGAAUAAGUUUUUAACAAAACGUAUUCGAAGGGAAACCAAAUUCUCGCAGCUUGCAAGGAGAAAGGUAUGAAAAUGCCUUAAGUCACUAAGCUAUAACCCGAAACCGGGCGAUCUAGUCGUGAGUAAGGUGAAGCCGAUCUAAUGAUUGGUGGAGGCCUGAAGAGGUGCUAUGGGCAUAUGUUCUUAUAACUUGCGACUAGGGGUGAAAAGCCAAUCGAGCCCGGUAAUAGCUGGUUCCUACCGAAAUAGGCCGAAGUCUAGUCUCGGCGGAGAUAGUUGAAGAGGUAGAGCUACGGAUUUGGAGGCUCGGGGGAGAAAUCCCUCACCUUCUUGUCCAACUCCAAAUUCUUCAACAUCGUAGAAGCUGGGAAACGGGGGUACUGGGGUAAGCCUGUAUUCCUAGAGGGGAACAACCCAGACUAUGGUUAAGGUCCCAAAAUUGCAAUUAAGUGUGAAAGGGUGAAAGGUGUUCAUCACCACAGACAGUGGGGAGGUUGGCUUAGAAGCAGCCAUCCUUUAAAGAUAGCGUAACAGCUCACCCAUCAAGGUGCUGUGCCCUGAAAAUGGACGGGACUAAAUUGCAUACCGAUACCAUAGCCCUCUAUACCUGAGUAUAGAGAGGAGUAGGUAGGUGUUCUGUUAGGGUAGAACUUAAUUCGUGAGAAUUAAGGGACCUGAUAGAAUUAAGAAUCCUGGCAGUAGUAGGAGCUAUCUACAGUGAGAAUCUGUAGGGCCGAAAGGGCGAGGGUUUCUCAGCAAUGUAAAUCAGCUGAGAGUUAGUUAGUCCUAACUGCAAUCCUAACAGGAAUUGCGGGAAAGGGAAAAAGGUUAAUAUUCCUUUACUACUUUGGUACACGUGGCAACACAAGCUCUUUUUCUAACACUUUCGGGUAAGCCUUGAGUCAUUAUCGUGGCUUUCAAAUAGAACAGUUCAUUGGAGUAGCGUAAUGCUGAGAAUUUGAACAAAUCUAUAAUGAAUAGACAUAAGUUUAUUUGGCUGAUCCCAAGAGUCCGUGAAAAGGGAAAAGAGAAGAAUCCGAAGUAUCUAUACCUAGAACCAGCACUGGUGUCCCAGGGUGAGAAGCCCAAGGCCUGAGAGGUUAACCUAGUUUAGGGAAUUCGACAGAUUAGCCCUGUGUCUUCGGUAUAAGGGGUCCCUGCGAUUGUGUUCGUAUGAAUGCGAUUACAGGGUGCAAUGACUAAGGGGAUCCGACUGUUUAACAAAAACCUAACGAACUGCAAGCCAGAAAUGGUGUGUAUAGUUCGUGACGUCUGCCCAGUGCCAGUACUUCAAACUCUGUUUCAACGGAGCUAAGAGCUGGUAAACGGCGGGAAUAACUAUAAUUCUCUUAAGGUAGCGAAAUGCCUUGUCGUUUAAUUGACGACCUGCAUGAAUGGCGUAACGAGAUCCCCAUUGUCCCAAACUAGAUCCUCCCGAACAUUCCUUUCUGGUGCAAAGGCCAGAGACUUCCAGUGGGAAGCGAAGACCCCAUGGAACUUUACUGUAGCUUAUUGUUGUGGUGUGAGCUUCAUUGUGCAGUGUAGGUGGUAGUUGUUAGGUCUUGGUCGCAAGGUCAAGAAUAGACUUCAAUGAGACACCACCCUUUGAAACUUACAUCGCUCACUUCCUUAGGGAAAGACAGCAGUAGGUAGACAGUUUGGCUGGGGCGGCACCCAGCUGAAAAGAUAUCAGUUGGGCCCAAAGGUAAGCUCACCAGGUUCAGAAAUCCUGGGUAGAGUGCAAGAGCAAAAGCUUGCCUGACUGUGUUUUGAAAAGCAAGAAACGCAGCAUCGAAAGAUUGGUCUAGCGAAACCUUGUGUCCCAAUUGAUGGGGGCCAGGUAUGACAGAAAAGCUAUCCUGGGGAUAACUGAGUCGUCGCGCCUAAGAGCUCAAAUCGACGGCGCGGUUUGCUACUUCGUUGUCGGCUCAUCGCAUCCUGGGCGUGCAGAAGCGCCCAAGGGUACGGGUGUUCACCGGUUAAAGCGGUUCGUGAGCUGGGUUAAGAACGUUGCGAGACAGUUUGUAUGAUAUCUAUUGGAAGUGUUUAAGUCUGAGAGGAAGGACCAUUUAGUACGAGAGGAACGGUGGUUCGGUGCCUCUGGUGUAUCUGUUAUCUGAUAAGGUACGCAGAGCAGCUACGCACCACAUCAUAAGUGCUGAAAGCAUCUAAGCACGAAGGAUACCUCGAAAAGAGACUGAGAACAGUUGCAAAAGACAACUUUGAUAGGGAUGGAGUGUAAGU